This is a long non-coding RNA of Cucumis melo (muskmelon), 1861 nucleotides long. RefSeq lists it as uncharacterized. NCBI's taxonomy places the organism in Eukaryota, Viridiplantae, Streptophyta, Magnoliopsida, Cucurbitales, Cucurbitaceae. The transcript is spliced from 3 exons. The record is from RefSeq and is a predicted model, not a curated record.
CCUCCCUUAAUUUUCCCAAAUCCUUUUUCUCCCGAUUUCUAGAAAAAACCCUAACUUUAUCCUCCAAUAUUCUCCCAUCUUAUGCUUUGCUCCAUUCGUGCGUCGCUCCGUCUCACGUCUGCUCCAUCGCAAAUCAUCGGUUCGUGCCCCGCUCCGUCUCAAGCCCUACUCUAUCGUUCGAUUUGUCCGUUCGUGUGUCGUUGUUCUGUUCGUUUGUUUGUGCAUCAUCAUUCCGUUCGUGGGCUGCUUCAUUUCCUCCAGAAGCACCGUGCACGGCCGAGGACAGUUAGCAUCCAUUCACAUCCAUUCAUUUCAUCCACAGGCACAAUUGAUGUGAAGCCUCUUUUUUGUCGCUUUUGGAAUCGAUCUGAUUCUUCUUUGAAGUGGCUGACCAGACCCACACGAAGCCUUCACGCACAGACACUAUCAAAGACAUUCAAGCACAGGCCAGUGCUGAGAUAUUCUCCUUACACAUGGAGCCAACGAUAGUAAGAGACGAUCAAGAUAAGGAGGUUGGUGGACGAUUAGUUAUUAGAGGAGCUGAUAAACAAAAUGUAGAAAAUCCUAAACAACAAAGAAGGCGGGGGCCUACGAUUAUGUUUGAUAUGACACGUGUUCAAAGUGAAGGUGAGAGAAAAUUGGUGGAAUACAAUGAAGAUGGCGUACCCAUUGGAGAAAAUGGGGUAAAACUAAACUUUUUUAUUGGAUUGUGUGUACACUACCACAUCCCCAUUAUCUAUGCAUCAUGGACAGAUGUUCUACAGAAUUGAAGGAAAAGAUAUAUACCAUAGUUGAGGUAAAUUUGCUUAUCGUUUUUGUACAAGUUUAUUUCAAUUGACAAUAUGAUACUAAUUGAUCUCCAAUCUCAGGUUGCAUUUAUAAUCGAUAAUAGGUCUAGAAAGACCAUUCUUAAGACUGUAUGGACAACAUUCCAUGAAUUUAAGCAUUGGUUAACGAAGAGGUAUAUCUUGCCUUUUCAGAAAUAAACCUGAAUUCUUGAGACGACCACUAGACAUAUAUUCUUACAUUAACAAAAAACAAUAGGAAGAAUUUGUUAGAUCUAGACUUUGUCCAUAUUUUGAGGUAUCAAUGAAUUUAUUUAUAUUUUAGAUAUUAAAUAUUUGUUAAGAAACUUACUUUAGAAAACCCCAAUAGAAUGUUAUAUUUGUGUAGGAGAUUAUGCUAAUCUUUGAGAGGAAUUGGUAAGAAAUAGUUUAUGUUUGAAUUUUUCUUAAAUGCUUCUUAUUCAAUGUAAUGAAUGUAUAUGUUGAAAUUUAGAAAAAUAUACCUUCAGAAGAAGGUGAUCUUGACCGAGCUGGCAUGUGGAACAAGACUUGUGUAGAUAAGAAGGGACAACUACGACAAUGAAGAUCUCCAAGAAGUUGUGAAUCGUAUAGAUGAGAUCUCAAAGCUUGUGGUGACAAAAAGUCGUCUCCAAACGAUGUUUUGACAUAAGCUUUAGGUACACAAGAGAGUAGUAGACGUGUAAGUUGGCAGGUUUGUUAGCCAAACUGCUUACUUCCACACAGCAAAAUGCUCAAAGAAAUGGAGUGGAGAAAUUGAGAAGCUUAGUCAAGAGAAUGAAAAGUUUUGUUUGAGAGUUCAAGAAUUAAAGAAUAUUGACAUAUCAAUAUAAUCUACACUGACGUCUGCACAUGGAUUUUGCUCUAUACUAAGAUUGGAAUACGAUAUUCAAUGUAAAAGAAUCUGAAAAAUGAGAAAAUGAAUGUCACAACGAAGGUGAUUAAAGAGGUGAAUGUGGAUGUGAUUAUUUUGAAUGAUCAACAUGAGGAUGUGUAACGCCCCCAAAAUUAAGAUAAUUUUGAAGUUAAUUAUCUUAGUUUUGUUUAAUUAGAUUUAA